UGAAGUAAGUAAGGGCGUACGGUGAAUGCCUUGGUGCCAACAGGCGAAGAAGGACGCGGCAAGCUGCGAAAAGCCUCGGGAAGCUGCAAGCAAGCGAUGAUCCGGGGAUAUCCGAAUGGGGUAACCUGAUCGAGGCAAUACUCGAUCGUUCAUACCUGAAUACAUAGGGUAUGAAACGCGAAACCCGCUGAAGUGAAACAUCUCAGUAAGCGGAGGAAAAGAAAGAGAAAUCGAUUCCGUAAGUAGUGGCGAGCGAAAGCGGAUGGAGCCCAAACCGAAGGUAUUCCUUCGGGGUUGUAGGACCACGUCAUAUUCGACCAUACUGGAUAGUAGAACAGCCUGGAAAGGCUGGCCGGAGAAGGUGAAAGCCCUGUAGACGAAAUCCAGAGUGGGAAUUAGUGGUAUCCUGAGUAAUACAUCACACGUGGAACGAUGUAUGAACCCGCGCGGACCACCGCGCAAGGCUAAAUACUAGUUGGCGACCGAUAGUGAACAAGUACCGUGAGGGAAAGGUGAAAAGAACCGCUGUGAGCGGAGUGAAAUAGAACCUGAAACCGUAUGUCUACAAAGUGUCAGAGCAGAGCAAUCUGCGAUGGCGUGCCUUUUGUUUAAUGAGUCUGCGAGUCAGUGUUUGUGGCAAGACUAAGGGCUUCCGGCCCGGAGUCGCAGCGAAAGCAAGUCCGAACAGGGCGCAAUAAGUCGCAGGUACUGGACCCGAAGCGGAGGUGACCUACCCUUGGCCAGGUUGAAGCAUGGGUAAAACCAUGUGGAGGACCGAACAGGUGAACGUUGAAAAGUUCUCUGAUGAGCUGAGGGUAGGAGUGAAAGGCUAAUCAAACCCCGUGAUAGCUGGUUCUCUUCGAAAUGCAUUUAGGUGCAGCGUCACGUGCUGAUGCGCGGGGGUAGAGCACUGACAAGGCUAGGGGGCACACCCGCUUACCAAACCUUAUCAAACUCCGAAUACCGUGCAAUGGAACGUGGCAGUGAGACAGUGGGGGAUAAGCUUCAUUGUCGAGAGGGAAACAACCCAGACCAGCAGCUAAGGUGCCUAAAUAACGCUCAGUGGAAAGGAUGUGGGAUUACACAGACAGUGAGGAUGUUGGCUUAGAAGCAGCCACCAUUUAAAAAAUGCGUAAUAGCUUACUCAUCGAGUGAUCCUGCGCCGAAAAUGAUUGGCGAUCAAGCGUUAUACCGAAGCUCUGGACUUUGCCGCAAGGCAGAGUGGUAGAAGAGCGUUGCAUGCGCGUCGAAGGGCGAUGGCGACUGACCCUGGAGCACAUGCAAGUGAGUAUGCAGACAUGAGUAACGUUAAGCCGGGUGAAAUCCCCGGCCGCCGUAAACCCGAGGUUUCCAGGGCAACGUGUUUCGUCCCUGGGUUAGCCGGGACCUAAGCCGAGGCCGAGAGGCGUAGGCGAUGGACAUCAGGUUAAUAAUCCUGAGCUCGCAACCCUUAAACUGGGGGGACGCAUGAGAAAAGAUGACUAGGUUAUUGAAUUCCGAGUUGAGUCUACGGACUCAGCGCAUCAUUGGAUCGAGUGCCAAGAAAAGCCCCAGCGUAUGCUAAGCGACCCGUACCGCAAACCGACACAGGUGGGUGGGUAGAAUAUACCAAGGCGUAAGAGUGAAACCUGGUUAAGGAACUCGGCAAAUUAGCCCCGUAACUUCGGAAGAAGGGGUGCCUGCAGCGAUGCAGGCCGCAGAGAAAUGGCCCAACCGACUGUUUAUCAAAAACACAGCACUCUGCAAAGACGCAAGUCGAAGUAUAGGGUGUGACACGUGACCAAUGCCGAAAGAUUAAGGCAAGGGGUUAGCCGCAAGGCGAAGCUCUAAACCCAAGUCCCGGUGAAUGUCGGCCGUAACUAUAACGGUCCUAAGGUAGCGAAAUUCCUUGUCGGGUAAGUUCCGACCUGCACGAAUCGUGAAACGAGUUGGGCACUGUCUCAACCAGGCGCUCAGUGAAAUUGUAGUGGCGGUGAAGAUGCCGCCUACCCGCAGAAGGACGGAAAGACCCUAUAGACCUUAACUGUAAGCUGUCAUUGUUUCUUCGGUUUUAAUGCUCAGAGUAAGUGGGAGACGCUGAAGACGCCCUUUAGGGGGCGUCCGAGUCAUCAAUGAGACACCACCCUUUGAAACUGGAGGAUCUAACCCUGAGCCGUGAAUCCGGCCAGAGGACCGUGUCAGCCGGUCAGUUUUACUGGGGCGGUAUCCUCCCAAAGAGUAACGGAGGAGCGCGAAGGUGGGCUCAGCCCGGUUGGCAACCGGGUGUCGAGUGCAUGGGCAUAAGCCCGCCUAACUGUGAGACCAACAAGUCGAGCAGAUGCGAAAGCAGGCCCAAGUGAUCCGGCGGUAGAAAGUGGAAUUGCCGUCGCUCAACGGAUAAAAGGUACCUUAGGGAUAACAGGCUGAUCACGCCCAAGAGUUCAUAUCGACGGCGUGGUUUGGCACCUCGAUGUCGGCUCGUCGCAUCCUGGGGCUGGAGAAGGUCCCAAGGGUCCGGCUGUUCGCCGGUUAAAGCGGCACGCGAGCUGGGUUCAGAACGUCGCGAGACAGUUCGGUCCUCUAUCCUCUGUGGGCGUUGGAAAAUUGAGGGGUUCAGACCUUAGUACGAGAGGACCGGGUCUGACGCACCACUGGUGCAUCGGUUGUACUGUCAAGUGCAUGGCCGAGUAGCUAAGUGCGGACGGGAUAAGCGCUGAAAGCAUCUAAGCGCCAAGCCCUUCCCAAGAUGAGUUUUCCCUACAGGUUCGUGGAAGACCACCACGUUGAUAGGUCGCAGGUGUAAGUGCAGCAAUGUAUUGAGCCGAGCGAUACUAAUUACCAAUUGACUUCAUCAU
RNAcentral lists this ribosomal RNA (2834 nucleotides) under human gut metagenome. Its description in RNAcentral is "bacterial LSU rRNA". It matches the Rfam family "Bacterial large subunit ribosomal RNA". The record is from RNAcentral.